GAGUUUGACCGUGGCUCAGGAUGAACGCUAGCGGCAGGCUUAAUACAUGCAAGUCGUGGGGCAGCAUGAGUGUAGCAAUACAUUUGAUGGCGACCGGCAAACGGGUGCGGAACACGUACACAACCUUCCUUUAAGUGGGGGAUAGCCCAGGGAAACUUGGAUUAAUACCCCGUAAUAUAUAGAGACGGCAUCGCCUUUAUAUUAUAGCAGCAAUGCGCUUGAAGAUGGGUGUGCGGCUGAUUAGAUAGUUGGCGGGGUAACGGCCCACCAAGUCGACGAUCAGUAACUGGUGUGAGAGCACGACCAGUCACACGGGCACUGAGACACGGGCCCGACUCCUACGGGAGGCAGCAGUAAGGAAUAUUGGUCAAUGGACGCAAGUCUGACGCAGCGACGCCGCGUGUGGGAUGAAGCUCUUCGGGGUGUAAACCACUGUUGCCCGGGACGAAAUGCCCCUUUCGAGGGAAUUGACGGUACCGGGUGAGGAAGCACCGGCUAACUCUGUGCCAGCCGCCGCC
Molecule: ribosomal RNA, 518 nt
Filed under: uncultured Sphingobacterium sp.
Lineage: Bacteria; Pseudomonadati; Bacteroidota; Sphingobacteriia; Sphingobacteriales; Sphingobacteriaceae
Also listed under: 1 other name
Description: bacterial SSU rRNA
Rfam family: Bacterial small subunit ribosomal RNA
Source: RNAcentral